RNAcentral lists this ribosomal RNA (301 nucleotides) under uncultured bacterium. RNAcentral's name for it is "partial 16S ribosomal RNA". It matches the Rfam family "Bacterial small subunit ribosomal RNA", at positions 509 to 807 of the family's 1533-position model. The record is from RNAcentral.
CAGCAGCCGCGGUAAUACGAACCGUGCGAACGUUAUUCGGAAUCACUGGGCUAAAGCGCGUGUAGGUGGAUGGGAACGUCGGUCGUUGAAAUCCCCCGGCUUAACCGGGGAAGUGGCGCCGAUACGCCCCGUCUCGAGGAGCGUAGGGGGAGCUGGAACUUCCGGUGGAGCGGUGAAAUGCGUUGAGAUCGGAAGGAACGCCCGUGGCGAAAGCGAGCUCCUGGACGUUUUCUGACACUGAGACGCGAAAGCCAGGGGAGCGAACGGGAUUAGAUACCCGGGUAGUCCCUGUCUCUUAUAC